This 420-nucleotide ribosomal RNA is filed under the name uncultured bacterium. RNAcentral's name for it is "bacterial SSU rRNA". It matches the Rfam family "Bacterial small subunit ribosomal RNA", at positions 360 to 772 of the family's 1533-position model. The record is from RNAcentral.
AAUCUUGCACAAUGCGCGAAAGCGUGAUGCAGCAACGCCGCGUGGGGGAAGAAGGCCUUCGGGUUGUAAACCCCUUUCAGUUGGGACGAAGCUUCGGUGGUGAAUAGCCGCUUGGAGUGACGGUACCUUCACAAGAAGCCCCGGCUAACUACGUGCCAGCAGCCGCGGUAAAACGUAGGAGACAAACGUUAUCCGGAGUUACUGGGCGUAAAGGGCGUGUAGGCGGUUUGUUAAGUCUGGCGUGAAAGCUCUCGGCUAAACCGGGAGAGGUCGGUGGAUACUGGCGAACUAGAGGAUGGUAGAGGCGUGUGGAAUUCCGGGUGUAGUGGUGAAAUGCGUAGAGAUCCGGAGGAACACCAGUGGCGAAGGCGACACGCUGGGCCAUACCUGACGCUAAAGCGCGACAGCAUGGGGAGCAAA